Molecule: long non-coding RNA, 225 nt
Filed under: Anas platyrhynchos platyrhynchos (common mallard)
Lineage: Eukaryota; Metazoa; Chordata; Aves; Anseriformes; Anatidae
Description: lncRNA (ENSAPLG00000027405.1)
Source: RNAcentral
AUAACAGGAAAGGAAGUUAAACAAGUUUUGCUGCUCCCUGGAAGUUGCUGUCUAGGGCUGUGUGUGGACAUGUGGGGCUAAGUUAUCACUCUGGGAUCUCCAAUGGAUUCCUGCCUGGCCGUGCACACUUUCCCUGAGGUGUUUUGUUUCUAGCAUUGUUAAUAACACCACGAUCACUUUGUCUUGCUUUUUGGGAUGAUAUCUCUCAGAAGGAGGCUGUGUUCA